This 3020-nucleotide long non-coding RNA is filed under the name Capsicum annuum. Its description in RNAcentral is "long non-coding RNA (CANN_LNC016838)". Lineage: Eukaryota; Viridiplantae; Streptophyta; Magnoliopsida; Solanales; Solanaceae. The record is from RNAcentral.
CUGAAAAGGAGAUAGAGACUCUUUUGCAGUCUGUAGAGGAGAUGAGCAACAGGCUUCGAAGGGUCAUCAGGGAGAAGGAUAUGGUCUAUGAAAUGAAAGAGAACGGGAAGCAAGAGUUUGAGAACAUGAUUCUUGAGUACCACGAGAGUAUGUUUGAAGCAUCGUUGAAGGAGGAAGAGUUGAAGAUUCUGGACGAAGAAUUGCAGUCUGAAAUGAGUAAAAGAGAAGAUUUGCAAAGAGCAAAGGCUCUUGCUACAAGCAGAAAAGGUCAGUUUCUGAAUGCAUUGUCGUGCCAAUCGUGCUCUUUCUCCAACAAGGUAGAGGAGGAUCUACACGACAUACGAAGGUCAGUGCUAGAGCUGAACUCGUUGCUUGGAAAUUAAUAGCUUGUGCUGAAAGUUAAUUUGCCUGUUUAACUGUCGAACUAUAAAGCAUCUUCUCUCAGUUGCAUUGCUGCCUUAAUGUAUUGUCAAUACAUAAAAUUCUGCUUAAGCAAACGGUGUGAUGUAUUUCGAACCAUAUUAUGAUUGUGAAUAAGUUUUGCAAUAUUACAAUCAAAUUUUUGGCUACACUUAAUGAAUCUAUAGAAUGCAAAAUCUCAACUGGGAAACACUAAUCAGAAUCAUUUGAGCUCAAGAAUCAUAUUUAUAUUAUGUACACAAAUAUAUCUUCUAAGUUGUCAUCAUUACCUUGAACUCAUCAAAGCUAAGAACUCCAUCUCCAUUUAUAUCAAAUCUACUAAUCAUAGCUUUACAAUUUUCAAUGGAAGUUGAUUCACCAAGUCUACUCAACAUCCUCUUUAAGCUCUUUGGAGUAAUGUAUCCUCCACUACCUUCCAUAUCUUCAUACAUACCAAAUGCUCCAAUUAACUCACUCUCUUUAUUCCUCUCAUCCUCCAUACCUUCCAUUAGUUUUGUAAAAUCCUCCAAUCCCAACAACCCGUCCCCAUCAGAAUCCGAUAGCCUCAUCGCCAUCUCAGCCUCCUCUGCUGUCAUUUUGCCUCCUACAACCUUCACACACCUCCUAAGCUCCGUUGGUGACACCUUUCCAUCUCCAUUCUCAUCGAAAUACAUAAAUACCCUCUCUAAUUCGCUAUUAUUACUAUCACUACUACUCAAUGAAAGUGGAUCAGUAGUAGUAAUAGCUGCUGCUGUUGUUGUUAGACUCUUCUGUUCUGUAAGAGUAGUAGCCUUUUUUAGAACAACCCUAUUCCAUAUUCUUGAGAAAAAAGAUUCAUUUUCACCCAUGGAAACAGAAACUGACGCCAUACACACGAUGUAUGUUUAUACAAGUACCUUAUAAGUACCUUUUUUCCAAGAAAGUUUGAAAUGUAUAGUAAAUGAUUAAAGUGUGAAACAAAGCUUGGGAAACUAACUUUUGGAAAUAGCUCUUGAAAGACGAGAAAGGAUAUGAGAAUGAAGAAAAAGAAUGUGGUAUUUAUAGUUUAUGGGGUUAAAAGAAUGAGUGGGAAAGCCAGUAGCAAAGGGAUAGUUAAUGGUAUUAAUUAUUAAUUCCGUGGGCAUACCACGUAGUGAAACAACUUGUAAGACCAUUUGUUUCUAUUAGAAGAAAUUCCCACCGUACAACGUUACUUGUCCACUAUUGAUUUGAUAUAUACACGAAGAAAUAAUAAAUAAAAUAAGUAAUUUUACUAUAUCAUUCUUUAAAUAUAAUAAAUUUAAUAUCUUAAAAAAUACAUUGAGUGAUAAAUAAUAUUUAAUAAUAACGAUAAAAUGAAUAAAAAAAAUAAAUUAUCAUUUUUCAAACUGAACAAUUAAUGUUAAAUAUUUAUUUUUAAUGUAAUAGACAAAUAUUAUUAAACAAAAUAUUUUUAAAUCAGAAGGUUGAAAAGUAAACAGGCAAUACGAUGUAUAUAUAUAUAUUUUUUUGAAAUGAAGUUCUGAUUUGUGGGAUAAAGUGUUAUCUUGACCAUAAUUAAAAACUACGCGUUCAGUAUGUAUGUUGGGUGGGGUUAGGAAUUGGCAUCUUUAUAUUAUAUAUGGUCAUCUAUAAUGUCAUGCCAAAUUGACGCACAUCCUUACCUUACUUUAAAUUUGUUUUUUUUUUAUACUCCUUUCGUUUGGCUUUACUUAUCACUUUUGAACCUAACAUAUUUAUUAAGAAAACAAUAAUUAAUAAAGUGAGUUUACAAUAUUACUUUGGAGAAUCAAAUUGUCUUUUACACAUCCAUUAAAAUAAUUUGGAGAAUAAGUAUUAAUGCUAAGGAUAAAACAAGAAAAAAAAUAAAAAAUUAGAAAAAUAGUGACAGCUAAAUUUGAUUAGAGAAAGUAUUCAGUACUUGCCUUUCAUGGCAUAUCCAAAAUAGUGUACUCUUAUUCCUUUAUGUAUAGUCCCCCACUUUUCGGAAGUAGUAUAUAUUUGGAUUUAUUUAUCUAUCAAAGUCUAUGAUGUUUAAAGUUAUCAGAAGUAGUAUAUAUUUGAAUUUAUUUGAUUAAUUUAUUAAUUAUGAUAAAAUUAGAUUUAGAUAACCACCAAAAUAUUAUAAAUAUUGUUUAGAUGAAUAACGUACAAAAAUUACAAAAAUAUAAAGAAUUAAAACAAAUAAUAUCUGAAAAACGUAAAGAAUUAAAGAUAAGGAUAGAAAGACUACAAUAUAACAUAAUUGUUGGAGUUAGUAAAAAUUCAAUAAAUGCACAAAAAGAAGAAAUAUCAAAUUUAGAAUCAACAAUAGACAGUCUAGAAUAUAUAUAUCAACAUAACCUAUAUACAUUUAAAUAAAAUGAACAAAGGAGAAUUCAUAAUAGACGAAAAAACAUAUGAAAAUAACGAAAGAACAAAAAUAAAAAUAGUAUUCUCUAAUUUAGGAAGAAGAUAUAAGAAAAUAGGUGAACAUUUAUAUUUAAUGUUAGAAAAAGAAGAAUUAAAAUUAGAAGAUAAGUUGGCAGCCAUGGUAAGAAUAGAAAGAGGAAAUGAAGAAAUAAACAGAAAAAAGAAAAUAGAUAAAAUAAAACAACAAACCACAGAAGAAAUACGAAAAAUAGAAGAAACUAAAAAUAGUA